UCAACAAGUGGAGGAAAAGAAAUAACAAGGAUUCCCCUAGUAACGGCGAGUGAAGCGGGAAGAGCUCAAAUUUGUAAUCUGGCACUUUCAGUGUCCGAGUUGUAAUCUCGAGAAGUAUUUUCCGCGCCGGACCGCAUACAAGUCUGUUGGAAUACAGCGUCAUAGUGGUGAGAACCCCGUAACUGAUGCGGAUGCCCGGUGCUUUGUGAUAUACUUUCGAAGAGUCGAGUUGUUUGGGAAUGCAGCUCAAAUUGGGUGGUAAAUUCCAUCUAAAGCUAAAUAUUGGAGCAAGACCGAUAGCGAACAAGUACCGUGAGGGAAAGAUGAAAAGCACUUUGGAAAGAGAGUUAACAGUACGUGAAAUUGUUGGAAGGGAAACGCUUGAAGUCAGACUUGCUAUUCGGAGUUCAGCCGCAAGGUGUAUUCUUCGAUUCGCAGGCCAGCAUCAGUUUUCGGGGGUGGAAAAUCGCGGUUUGAAGGUAGCAACUUCGGUUGUGUUAUAGCUUUCCGCUGGAUUCAUCCUUGGGGACUGAGGAACGCAGUACGCUUUUUGCAAGGCUCUCGAGCUUUUCGUACUUAGGAUGCUAGUGGAAU
This 594-nucleotide ribosomal RNA is filed under the name Leucosporidium fragarium. RNAcentral describes it as "LSU rRNA". It matches the Rfam family "Eukaryotic large subunit ribosomal RNA", at positions 43 to 635 of the family's 3401-position model. Lineage: Eukaryota; Fungi; Basidiomycota; Microbotryomycetes; Leucosporidiales; Leucosporidiaceae. The record is from RNAcentral.